Molecule: long non-coding RNA, 6794 nt
Filed under: Sus scrofa (pig)
Lineage: Eukaryota; Metazoa; Chordata; Mammalia; Artiodactyla; Suidae
Description: lncRNA (ENSSSCG00000060391.1)
Source: RNAcentral
CCAGAAUGAAUGCUAAUUUGAUUGAGAAUUUUAUACUGGUCUCACUGAAGUGAAUGAAGUCAUUCUUUGUGUCCCGGAGAGAUGGGAAGGGCAGUAGCCCCACACUAUUUGAAAAGCCUCAGGGCAUCUAAGAGGUGGUCACGGGUAUCACCUCCUGGAACAUGAACUGCUUGGCUCUGUCCUGAUGCACCUGCUAAAUAGAUGCAAACACCAGAUCCCCAGUUCAGAGUAUCUAAACACAAAAAAAUGGAAUGUUCUAACACUACUGACAUCUAACCUUCCAAAUGUCUUAUUCUGUUCAUGACUUCAGUAGUUCUACAGCCCGGAUAGAAAAUGAUAACUAAAGUAAAACAUUUCCAAGACUGUCAGGAUUUUACAUGUUACUUAUCACCUGUGGGUCCCAGAGGUUAAAACUGCUAGGCUCUUCUUCCCCCUCCCACUCAGGCAAGUGCCAAGGGAUGGACAGACUGCAGAGCGCUCAUGAGGAAAGGGUCCCUGUGCAAGUUCUUUUCAGCACCAGGAGGGUAACAGUGGGCUCGGACGGAAGAGUGUGGCACCACUGUAUGGGAGCUGUCCCUGUGACUUCCUUUCUUUCCAAGAAAAGGGAAGUUGCCACUACGGCUACAGAUAUACGUAUAUGGCACAUAAGAUUCUGAGUUUACUUUGGUCUUUAAAGUCUCAAUUCUACUUAAGAGAAAUUAUUUUGCUUAAUUCACUUAACAUAACAAGACUGUAAUCAUCAAGAAAAAUCAUUUGGUCAUGACAGUGUCCAGGAAGGAAUUCUACAAGCACAUCUGUUGCUUUUCCAAAGGUUCUAUUACAGAAAUUAUCUCAAGUAUAUUCAACAUCUGCAGUGUCUUCUGCUUCAGUCUGAUUAGCGGCUUCUGUUUAAAAACCAAUUUUAUUUUGACCCUUUCAAAAGCCCCUCAGGAAGAUUAUAAGAAACUACAACACGUAUUAAAAAUCUUUGUCAAUGAUUAAAUUUAACCAGAUUUCAAAACCAAUAUAUUAAUUAGCCUCAAAGAUUAUUUCCUUAUAAAAUAUUCUAAAAACAACAGGCAGUGCCCAGAAUACUACUAAGGUCUUAUGGAUAACGCAUUAACGAACCCUCUCACACUAGAGACGGGGCUGCAAAAUUAUAAAAUGGAGUUAUGAAAGGCUAAGUAUUUUCAGAGAUGGAAGGACACACUGAAAUUUCUUUUAGUACAAAAAUCAAGUCAAAAAGACUUUUUGAACUCAAGAGCUGUAAGCACAAAAAUUUAUCUCCCCACCUGUUCCUAUAAACUGGCUUCCAGAUGAAUGACAGCCACAAGCUUCCAAAGAGUAUUUCAACAAUCCCAUCAGUGUGCAUCCCGCCACAUCACAAUGCUACCUUAUCUUGAAGAAAAUGCAAAAGGUCAGAAACAGCCUCUCUUAGGGUGACUGAAUCCGCAGGUAAACGUAUUUCCCUCAUAUUCUGCUGUUACCUUGCCGUCAGAAAAACAAAUCAUAUUUAAUUUUUAUAUACAUUUAUUUCAAAUUUCUCAUUAUUAAAUGUUAACAAGGUAACACUUUUUCAUAAUUAAUUACUAGAAUUACAAAAAUAAAUUCCAAGUGGCUGGGGCAAAAAAAAAAAAAAAAAUCCCAUUAUUGCUCUACACUUUGGCAAACUUUCUUGCAUUUCCAUCUAUAUUCUGGGCUUUGAGUCAAGUAAAUGAAAUCUUGGCUAGAAAAGAGAUUAUCUUAAUUUAGGGUGGUGACCCUUUCUAAAGGGAAUGGAAGAGAAUGCCAAUGUUCUAUAUUUUUCAAAUUAGCCUAAAAGAUUCUAUAUUUGCAGUUACUUCUAUUCUAUUUGGUUAUUUUAUCUAAAAGAAAUUUUAAAGUGUUGUUCAUAUUUUUAAGCAACAUAUCAAAAGAGCAUUUAAAAAUCUUUAUCACUAGCAAAACCAGUAGAACCCACGAGAAAGGAGUCUUAAUUAAAAACUUGACCAGUUUUCCCAUCGAUUACAAUAGUUACUCUAAGAUCCAUCUAACAUUCAUCAACAGGCCCAGAUUUAGGACUUACUGUAUCUGCUCGGCCGUGGAGAAACAAUGAUGAACAAAGUACCUGACUGUAGGAACCUCGAGGUGGCAUUCUUCUGUGUCACCACUUCUAGGCUCGAAGGAAAAUAAAAAUGCGCUUUACAGUGAGUCCUAGCUAGUUCUGAACAAGUUUUCUCCUUAUACUAAUAAACGAGAAAAUGUUUACUAAGACAUAUAAAAGUAGAACCCUCUCCAAACAGCAGUAUGAUGGCUCUAUCUUUAUAAAUAAUCUAGCUGGCUAAAGGGUGAAACAGACCCCUCUGGGAACUUCCGGGCAGUAACACAAGCACAACAGCCACCAUGGGUCUGGCUGGAACUGAGUCUUCUUUGGGACUUGGGAAGCCAGCCCAGGGAAGGCGACACAGAGGCCCCCUCUUAAUGCUUCGGCCAGCCUUACGACCCUGGGAAAGACUCCUUACGCAAGACUGGAUCUGAAAAAGACCCAUAAAUAACCCCCUACCUAGAGCUGACUUAGAGGUGGAAUAUGCAAAGCAAGUCACAGAAACAUCCUCGUUUCAAAUAGAUUUAUGACAAUACGACGUUUCCAGUUAUCUCAGAGCCAUGAACCAAACUGACAAUAUUCUGAACAUUUAUACAACCAGAAUUAGAGUCCAUGGAGUUCUGGUUGGGGAUCGUCGGUAACGAACCCGACUAGUAUCCAUGAGGAUGCAGGUUCAAUCCCUGGCCUCGCUCAGUGGGUUCAGGAUCCAGCACUGCCAUGAACUGUGGUGUAGGUUGCAGAUGUGGCUUGGAUCUGGCACAGCUGUGGUGUAGGCUGGCAGCUAUAGCUCCGAUUUGGCUCCUAGCCUGGGAACCUCCAUGUGCCAUGGGUGCUGCCCUUAAUCAUCUAAGUUUUAUGUCUUGCCUAGACAGUAAACCUUAUAUUUUUUUCCUACUGAAUCUUAACUUUCCCUGGCUCUCUCUCUUAAAGAAUUUAAAACAAUUUUGUUUCAUCCAAAGAUAUAGCUAAAGAUAAAUCAGUAUGGAAAAGAAAUCAUACCUUCUACCUCUGUGGCAGCCACCUUCAUCUGCCCCAAAUCCAACAAUGGUUUCUCAACACUUAUGUAAAAAGAGUCUGAAUUUUUUAACUAGAGAUUCCAAGUCCUAGACAAGUUCCAAGCUGAUUUUCCAGCUCAUCUGCCUCUAUACCUCUCCACAGAGCCAUCACUCCAGGCAAAUCGAACUGUCCCCUUACUAAACACACUCUUCACUUUACCUUUAUCCCUGCCUUUUCUCUUAUAUCCAAUCUGCAUUAAGGGCCCACUGACAGCUCUCUGUAAUUCCAAGGUGCAUCCACCCUACUAUCCCUAAUUGAAGGGAAGCCUCUUCUUGGAGCCUUUGUUAAUGCCCCAUCUGCUGAAAUGCCACAGGGCGCACUAUGUGGAAGAGGAGUGUCCUUUGGAAACAAACAUCACUGAAAUCUCAACUCUGCCAUGUGCAAGUCAGGCCCCGAGCAAGGUGCUUGCCUCCCCAACCUCAAUCAGACCAACACAGGGGCCAUAAUAAGUACCCUGCAAGCUUUAGAGGUUUUUGGACAAUAUUCUGCUGCCCUGGGUUCAAACCUCAAUGCUGACAACAGCAGAGGUCUGACCUUGGAAAAGGAAAUGACACGCCACGAGCCUCAGCUUUCUCACUGGUCCACGGGAGUCGCUAUAGAACUCUGACUCCCAUGCCCUGGGUCCCUCAGGCCCCAUAUCCCUUCCUCAGGAGUGGCCGCCCUUCCUCUCUCUGGGCCCCCAUCGCACCCUGUGUUCCCUUCUGUCUCUCCCAUCGGACACUCCUCCUUCACUGGCAGCUUUCUGGCCUGAGCGCAGACUGUCGUAUUUGCAGUAUGAAGGGUCUCAUAGGUAUAAAUCAAAGCACACAAGUUAAAAAAAAAAAAAAUCAAAGCACUGAGUCCGAGGCUGAGAAACAAAGGAAAACACCUGUUGAACUGCUGCAUCCUCUUUAAGAUCCAGUUCAAAGCAUAAUAGCUGCAACUCAGCGAAGUCUGGAGACAGAGGAAGGCUCCAGCCCUCAGCUGCUACCUACACCUCUGUAGUUUCCCCAAGGAAGGUUGCUUAGCGUUGGAGGCUCCGCCCCACUUCAUCAAUUCAUCUCUAACACAACCUCCCACACCCUCCCCUGUACUUUAAUUUUUUCCAUCAUUUUAUCUCCCUGAUCAGUAGCUGGAAGAAGGCAAGACCUCUGCGUGGCAGGCCCUUCUUUCCAGUCCCUCCUCCCCCCAUAGAACAGGAAUUGAAUAUAUUAAAAGGGAAUAUUAAAGUCUCUAAAAAUAAACCAUCCAAAUCACAAGGCUGCUCUGCCACGUGAGUCAUCGCCUCCAAGACCCCCAAGUCAAGGUGUGAAGAGACCUAGACAUCCUUCUUACCUUUCAGGAAGGAAUUCAACAAAAUCUCUUAAAAUCAAAAGAAAAAAUGUUCCCUGAAUAAGGUUUUCAUUAGUGCUAACAAAAUCAGAAACAACAGAAAACAGUGAACUGAAACCAAAAAUGUCAGGGGAAAAAAUUCUGUCCUUUCAAACUUAAUAAUGUCCACGGUACUUUAAUAUUCUUCUAUCACCAAGCCAAAUACUUUUCUUAGAAGAAUAAAUCAAUGCUUUACAUUCCAUAUUCAUGAGUAGUUAUAAAAAUAAACUAGCAUACACUCUAGAAGAGCUUUUUAGAGUUAUUGAUUAAUCAAAUUAAUGAAAGUUGACUUAUAAAACAUCUUUUGAACUCGUUAUUUUCCAGUGUGGCUAUCACCUCAUUAAAACAUCUGUUUUCUAUCUCCAACAUUUCAGAAUCAACAAACUUAUAACAAAAACAGAACCCUCCCCACCCUACCCCCCUUUUUAGUGAGGGGUGGCAGCAGAAAAGAAGAGGAAAAGGUUGUGAAUCUGGAACAAAAUACUGACUUUCCCCUCUUCUCGUGUGGAACACACUCCUUGACACUGUAAAAAGAAACAGAGGGAGUUCCCGUGGUGGCUCAGUGGUUAACGAAUCUGACUAGGAACCUUGAGGUUGCGGGUUCGGUCCCUGCCCUUGCUCAGUGGGUUAAGGAUCCGGCGUUGCCAUGAGCUGUGGUGUAGGUUGCAGACGCGGCUCGGAUCCCGCGUUGCUGUGGCUGUGGCGUAGGCCAGUGGCUACAGCUCCGAUUGGAUCCCUAGCCUGGGAACCUCCAUAUGCCGCGGGAGCGGCCCAAAGAAAUAACAAAAAAAAGACCCCCCCCCCAAAAAAAAGUUAAAUAUACGAAAAAAAAAAAAAAGAGAAAUUUCAAUUUAAUUCUGAGUUCACUGAAGCCUGAGGAGCUAAAACAGAAACUUAGCAGAAACCAGCAUCCUUUGUACAACUCUCUUCUCUGUAAAGUCUCCUUGGAGAGCCCCACUCCGCCUCUCCCUGGGACACCAGAGAUGAGUUGCUGGAAAUGUUCUUCCCAAGCUAAACGCCAGUUAUUUGAUCAAAUCAAAGAAUGCUAAGCAGGGAAGCCAGAGGAGAAAAAAAACCCUGCUCGCCUAGGAUUUUUGGAUCAAUUCCAAGAACUUUCCAUCUCCCACUGCCAGCAGCACCCAUCAAUUCCCAUAGUAACCAGCCCACAGCUUUCCAACUGGUCCAAAAGGGAGGCACACAGGCUACAGACAGAAACACAGAAGAGCACGACCCAAACCACAGCAUCAAUCCAAUCACUGCUAGAGUUCCCGUCAUGGCUCAGUGGGUUAAGAACCCAACCAGUAUCCAUGAGGAUUUGGUUCGAUCCCCGGCCUUGCUCAGAGGGUUAAGGAUCCAGCAUUGCUGUGAACUGUGGUGUAGACCACAGACACAGUUCCGAUCCCACUUUGCUAUGGCUGUGGUAUAGGCCUCAGCUAUAGCUCCUAUUUCACCCCUAGCCCAGAAACUUCCAUAUGCCAUGGGUGCAGCCCUUUAAAAGAGAAAAAAUAAACAAUUCUCUCCUUUCUCCCAUCAACUUGAUACUGAGGUAAUGAAGGGGACUUUUUUUUCUCUAGGGCUCUGAACAAAACAAUUUUCUGUUUUCUGAUGCAAUCUCGAUUCCAGUCUAUUUCAUACUAAAGCAAUCGUGUCUCCCCACCACACUGUGCAUAAAUGUUUGCUGACUGAAUGAAUCCUCUCUCUGGUAUAGAAAUAAAGUUUGCAAAGAUAUGGGGGUAUAGAUUUGAGAUCCAGGAUAAGGAUGAAGAAGCUGUAUUUCCGAAAUGAAUGAGAAAAGGGGGCUGGGGGGGGUGGAGACGACUUUAUAUUUGUGAAGAAGAGGGUUACUUAUGCUGACUAUGCAGGAGCUGGGGAGUGGAGAAGGACUCCAAGGGCUGAGAGCAUUUCUGUCCCCAAAACACUCAAUCAAGGGCCCUGCAAUCAGCAACUGUACCUCGUGAAAAGUGAUUUUCAGCACAGAAAGGGCAAUGAUCAGAACUAGGUGAUGAUUUUAAAAUUGUGAAAGGAAAAAAAUUACUCAGCUAAUUCUAACAUGUGCACCUAUAGUAUUGACUAUGUUGCUCAGAUUUUUUUUUAAUUAAAAAGUAAGGUAGAGAAUCAAAUUAAAAGUGCUCGCAUGGGCUACAAAUCAAUCCUGCAAGAUUUCACAUCUUCAACAAAAUUUGAUGGCUCUAAGGAAAAGGUGACAGGAGGUGCUGCAAAAAGAGGUACUUGCCAUUGCCCAGGAGCCCAUGUCUCUUUGAUAGGAUGCAUGUAGUUUCCUUAGGAGAGAUGCUUAGUAAUGCAGCUGUAGCGUUAUAGCAUACAC